AUUGAACGCUGGCGGCAUGCCUAACACAUGCAAGUCGAACGGCAGCGCGGGGGCAACCCUGGCGGCGAGUGGCGGACGGGUGAGGAAUGCAUCGGAAUCUGCCUGGUUGUGGGGGAUAACGUAGGGAAACUUACGCUAAUACCGCAUACGACCUACGGGUGAAAGUGGGGGACCGCAAGGCCUCACGCGAUCAGAGGAGCCGAUGCCGGAUUAGCUAGUUGGCGGGGUAAAGGCCCACCAAGGCGACGAUCCGUAGCUGGUCUGAGAGGAUGAUCAGCCACACUGGAACUGAGACACGGUCCAGACUCCUACGGGAGGCAGCAGUGGGGAAUAUUGGACAAUGGGCGCAAGCCUGAUCCAGCAAUGCCGCGUGUGUGAAGAAGGCCCUCGGGUUGUAAAGCACUUUUGUACGGGAAGAAAAGCUUUGGGUUAAUACCCUGUGCGGAUGACGGUACCGGCAUAAGAAGCACCGGCUAACUACGUGCCAGCAGCCGCGGU
RNAcentral lists this ribosomal RNA (498 nucleotides) under uncultured bacterium. RNAcentral's name for it is "bacterial SSU rRNA". It matches the Rfam family "Bacterial small subunit ribosomal RNA", at positions 29 to 521 of the family's 1533-position model. The record is from RNAcentral.